AAAUGGUACAGACUAACAGGAUUCCCCUAGUAACUGCGAGUGAAGCGGGAAAAGCUCAAAUUUAAAAUCUGGCAGUCUCUGGCUGUCCGAGUUGUAAUCUAGAGAAGUAAUGCCCGUGCUGGACCGUGUAUAAGUCUCCUGGGAUGGGGCGUCAUAGAGGGUGAGAAUCCCGUCUUUGACACGGACUACCAGUGCAUUGUGGUAUGCUCUCAAAGAGUCGAGUUGUUUGGGAAUGCAGCUCAAAAUGGGUGGUAAAUUCCAUCUAAAGCUAAAUAUUGGCGAGAGACCGAUAGCGAACAAGUACCGUGAGGGAAAGAUGAAAAGAACUUUGGAAAGAGAGUUAAACAGUACGUGAAAUUGCUGAAAGGGAAACGCUUGAAGUCAGUCGCGUUGGCCGGGAAUCAGCCUUGCUUUUGCAUGGUGUACUUUCUGGUUGACGGGUCAGCAUCAAUUUUGACCGCUGGAAAAAGACCUGGGGAAUGUGGCAGCUUCGGCUGUGUUAUAGCCCCUAGUYGCAUACAGUGGUUGGGAUUGAGGAACUCAGCACGCCGCAAGGCCGGGUUUCGACCACGUCCGUGCUUAGGAUGCUGGCAUAAUGGCUUUAAGCGACCCGUCUUGAAACACGGACCAAGGAGUCUAACAUGCCUGCGAGUAUUUGAGUGGAAAACCCAAGUGCGCAAUGAAAGUGAAAGUUGAGAUCCCUGUCGUGGGGAGCAUCGACGCCCGGACCAGAACUUUUGGGACGGAUCCGCGGUGGAGCAUGUAUGUUGGGACCCGAAAGAUGGUGAACUAUGCCUGAAUAGGGUGAAGCCAGAGGAAACUCUGGUGGAGGCUCGUAGCGAUUCUGACGUGCAAAUCGAUCGUCAAAUUUGGGUAUAGGGGCGAAAGACUAAUCGAACCAUCUAGUAGCUGGGUUCCUGCGA
RNAcentral lists this ribosomal RNA (923 nucleotides) under Agaricus sp. Its description in RNAcentral is "LSU rRNA". It matches the Rfam family "Eukaryotic large subunit ribosomal RNA", at positions 51 to 964 of the family's 3401-position model. The record is from RNAcentral. Lineage: Eukaryota; Fungi; Basidiomycota; Agaricomycetes; Agaricales; Agaricaceae.